UCUCCCCGAAAUAGCUUUAGGGCUAGCCUCAAGGUGAGAGAUACGGAGGUAGAGCACUGAAUGUCCUAGGGGGUAUUGCACCUACCGAAGACUAUCAAACUCCGAAUGCCGUCAUCUUAUACUUGGGCGUCAGACUGUGGGUGAUAAGAUUCAUAGUCGAAAGGGCAACAGCCCAGAUCGUCAGCUAAGGUCCCUAAAUGUAAGUUAAGUGGUAAAGGAUGUGGGAUUGCACAGACAACCAGGAUGUUGGCUUAGAAGCAGCCACUCAUUCAAAGAGUGCGUAAUAGCUCACUGGUCGAGUGAUCCUGCGCCGAAGAUUUCCGGGGCUAA
This 330-nucleotide ribosomal RNA is filed under the name Clostridioides difficile. RNAcentral's name for it is "partial 23S ribosomal RNA". It matches the Rfam family "Bacterial large subunit ribosomal RNA", at positions 854 to 1184 of the family's 2925-position model. Lineage: Bacteria; Bacillati; Bacillota; Clostridia; Peptostreptococcales; Peptostreptococcaceae. The record is from RNAcentral.